AUAGAAAUUUCGAGACACAGUAAUGGACAGUAAUAUGUUCAGUAGGUCAAAUAGGUCAGUAGGGCUACCGUCUGGCUGAUGAAAGAAGGAGUCUAUUAGUAUAUAUGGAAAGUUCAUGUCCGUGGACUCUUUGGCCAAAAAUAUGUUCACAAGUUCAAAUAUGUACUACUGUAUGCCUGAUGAAAUUUCAGAAGGCUCAAAGAGUAGAUAUCAAGAUCAAGUAUUCUUUGGCCGGAAAUAUGUUCAGUAGGUCAAAUAUGGCCUAAUGUCUGGUUGAUGUUACAUCAGAGGGAGUCAAUGAGUAUGCAUAGAAAGUUCAUGAUAGUGGAAUCUUUGGCCAGAAAUAAGUUCAGUAGGUCAAAUAUGGACUACUGGCUGACUGAUGUAACUAUGUAAUUAUGUGACUAAUGUAACAUGUAACAUCAGAAGGAGCCAAUGAGUAUGUAUAGAAAUUUUAAGAUUGAGGACACUUUGGCCUAAAAUAUUUUCAGUAUGUCAAAUAUGUUCAAGAUUGUGGAUUCUUUGGCCAGAAAUGUGUUCAGUGGGUCAAAUCAGGACUAUGGCUGAUGUAUCAUCAGAAAGACUCAUUGAGUAUAUAUAGAAUGUUAAUGUCCGAGAUCUCUUUUGCCAGAAAUAUGUUCAAAAAGUCAAAAUAUGGACUACUGUCUGGCUGAUGCAUCAUCUGAGACCUGAGAGGUUAUAUUGCUACAAUGCAGAAGACACUACAACACAUCCACAACACAUCCACAUUGAUUCUACACUGUAAAAAUAAAAGGUGCCUGGAGGAAACUUUUGGGGUUCUUCACUUUGCCACACUGGCGGAACCGUCUGUAGAUCCUCUAGGCACCCUUUCAAAAGGGACAGUUCUCUGAGGAACCACCCAGGUUUCCUGAGGAACCCUUAUAUGAAGCAUUGUGUGGAACCUCUUUGGGUGCCUCCAGAAAAAUAGUUUAUUGCAUUAAGAUCCAUUUUAAUACAUACGGCAUGCACUUAAAAAAAAAGCAAUAGGCCAAAUAUCAAUACACAUUUGAAAAAUAGUUUACAUACAUAAGCAACAGGAAUAAUCAACUGUAAAAAAGCCCAUGUUCAGUUUGUGUUCUUUUCUUAUAAGGGCUGUACAGCUGUUAUGUUGGUCAUUGAUUUGAAUUGAGAGGGCGUGGCUUGUUUGGUGGUCGCGCGAGAGCGGAUCAGUUUCAAUGCGUGAUCAGUAGAGUGAAAGCAUAGGUUCUGCAGUCUUCUCUGAAAAGCAGCAAAAUUAUGCAAAUGAAGAUCUUUUCUGUAGCGACUCACUUUGUGAACUGCAGGGAGAAUAUUUGUGAUCUCGAUUGGCAGUGGAUGAUGCUUAAUUGUCUCAGACUUCUCGUUGAAGUUUCCUUCAUGACGAUUCUGGAAUGUGCGUCAUUGAAGACCAACCACAUUUAGAGUCAUAUACAGCAACGGGAUAAAUCAAUAAAGCACAUCAUAGACUUUGCAAUCUUCAUCGCCGACGAUACAUCGUGCAUCAGGGCACCUGAGACUGCAGCUUAACGACCAGCUUCACAUCGCUAUCCUGACAUCUGAGCGCCUUAAAGAACUGCAGAGACCAACACGGACUGUUGCACUCAUUGUUUUUCACUACAUAUUUGUGAAACCAGCCUCCAUCUGUAUCCUUGAAAUCCAAAUCUGUUAAAUAAUUCAGUUUGUUUAUUAUUUUGCGUAGGCCUACGCUCUCUAUAUGUAUGUUUUAUUUGCUAUUUUGUGAUCUGUUUUGAUUGUGAAUAUGUACACAGUGUAUUUGAUUAUUGAUAUUCAACAUCUUAAAGAGUAAAUUAGUACAAUUUAGUACAA
Long non-coding RNA from Ctenopharyngodon idella (grass carp), 1827 nucleotides. RefSeq lists it as uncharacterized. The record is from RefSeq and is a predicted model, not a curated record. Lineage: Eukaryota; Metazoa; Chordata; Actinopteri; Cypriniformes; Xenocyprididae. The transcript has 2 exons.